AGUCCAACGAUUUGGACACGAUGCCGCAACUCACGGUCGGCCGGGUCGACAGCAAGAGCGCGAAUCCCACGGCGACCACCGGCUCGCCUGCGGACAAACGCCACGUACUUCACCGGGGUGGAGAACGCCAGCGAGCGAGUGUGCGGAAGGUAUCGUCGUUGGGGAAUCAUGAGGGAAGGAGCCCGGUCGAGGCUGGACUGCGGAUCCGGGGAAAUUUUGCGAUUGUCACGACGUUAAUCAGUCGACAAUGGGGAAACUUGAUGAAAAUUGAGAAAAAGGCACCGCAUAUAUGUAACCGUAUAUAUCCCCUCCGAAAAGUUUGAUUCAGCCUUACCUCUUCGAUGACGUGUGAACACGUCAGGAAUGUUCCGGUGUCUUUAUCAACGAGAACGCCAGUGCCUUUAUUGAUCCCGCAGAGGACGAAAAUUUUACGGGAAGGAACGUAAGACAACGUUUUACGAACCACUUGGCUUAUCGUGACGUAUGGUGGACUUGAUCGAAGGCAGA
This is a long non-coding RNA of Dinoponera quadriceps, 507 nucleotides long. RefSeq lists it as uncharacterized. The record is from RefSeq and is a predicted model, not a curated record. NCBI's taxonomy places the organism in Eukaryota, Metazoa, Arthropoda, Insecta, Hymenoptera, Formicidae. The transcript has 3 exons.